AGCGAACGCUGGCGGCAGGCUUAACACAUGCAAGUCGAGCGGGCCUUUCGGGGUCAGCGGCGGACGGGUGAGUAACGCGUGGGAACGUGCCCUCUGGUUCGGAAUAACUCAGGGAAACUUGAGCUAAUACCGGAUACGCCCUUUUGGGGAACGGCUUGCUGCCGGAGGAUCGGCCCGCGUCUGAUUAGCUAGUUGGUGAGGUAACGGCUCACCAAGGCGACGAUCAGUAGCUGGUCUGAGAGGAUGAUCAGCCACACUGGGACUGAGACACGGCCCAGACUCCUACGGGAGGCAGCAGUGGGGAAUAUUGGACAAUGGGCGCAAGCCUGAUCCAGCCAUGCCGCGUGAGUGAUGAAGGCCUUAGGGUUGUAAAGCUCUUUUAUCCGGGACGAUAAUGACGGUACCGGAGGAAUAAGCCCCGGCUAACUUCGUG
RNAcentral lists this ribosomal RNA (433 nucleotides) under uncultured bacterium. RNAcentral describes it as "partial 16S ribosomal RNA". It matches the Rfam family "Bacterial small subunit ribosomal RNA", at positions 29 to 507 of the family's 1533-position model. The record is from RNAcentral.